RNAcentral lists this unclassified non-coding RNA (434 nucleotides) under uncultured Tomentella. RNAcentral describes it as "sequence contains ITS2". The stretch from base 1 to 154 matches the Rfam family "5.8S ribosomal RNA". Lineage: Eukaryota; Fungi; Basidiomycota; Agaricomycetes; Thelephorales; Thelephoraceae. The record is from RNAcentral.
AACUUUUGGCAAUGGAUCACUUGGCUCUCGCAUCGAUGAAGAACGCAGCGAAACGCGAUAAGUAAUUUGAAUUGCAGAAUUCAGUGAAUCAUCGAAUCUUUGAACGCACCUUGCACCCUUUGGCAUUCCAAAGGGUAUGCCUGUUUGAGUAUCAUGAAAUUCUCAACUCUCCUCGGAUUCUGUCUGCAGGUGAGCUUGGACUUGGAGGUUUAUGCUGGCGUUCGCCGGCUCCUCUUGAAAUCAUUAGCUUUGAGUUGAUCUCGAUGGCUUGACCGGUGUGAUAAACAUCUAUGCCGAUUUGUGUCAUCCUGAGCGACGACGUCGGAGACGCUCUGGCUUAUAACUGUCUUCACCGAAGGACGACGCCCCGAACUUUUGACCUCAAAUCAGGUAGGACUACCCGCUGAACUUAAGCAUAUCAAUAAGCGGAGGCU